UACGAAGGGGGCUAGCGUUGUUCGGAAUUACUGGGCGUAAAGCGUGCGCAGGCGGCUUCUCAAGUCAGGGGUGAAAGCCCAGAGCUCAACUCUGGAAUUGCCUUUGAGACUGAGAGGCUUGAGUACGGGAGAGGUGAGUGGAACUGCGAGUGUAGAGGUGAAAUUCGUAGAUAUUCGCAAGAACACCAGUGGCGAAGGCGGCUCACUGGCCCGAUACUGACGCUGAGGUGCGAAAGCGUGGGGAGCAAACAGG
This 253-nucleotide ribosomal RNA is filed under the name uncultured bacterium. RNAcentral's name for it is "partial 16S ribosomal RNA". It matches the Rfam family "Bacterial small subunit ribosomal RNA", at positions 524 to 776 of the family's 1533-position model. The record is from RNAcentral.